AUAAACCACAUAAUCCUAUGGUAAAUGCUGGAGCAAUUGUUGUGACUUCACUAAUAAAGCAAGGAGUAAAUAAUGCUGAAAAAUUUGACUAUGUCAUGCAGUUUUUGAAUAAGAUGGCUGGUAAUGAAUAUGUUGGAUUCAGUAAUGCAACGUUUCAGUCUGAAAGAGAAAGUGGAGAUCGAAAUUUUGCAAUAGGAUAUUACUUAAAAGAAAAGAAGUGUUUUCCAGAAGGCACAGACAUGGUUGGUAUAUUAGACUUCUACUUCCAGCUGUGCUCCAUUGAAGUGACUUGUGAAUCAGCCAGUGUGAUGGCUGCGACACUGGCUAAUGGUGGUUUCUGCCCAAUUACUGGUGAAAGAGUACUGAGCCCUGAAGCAGUUCGAAAUACAUUGAGUUUGAUGCAUUCCUGUGGCAUGUAUGACUUCUCAGGGCAGUUUGCUUUCCAUGUAAGUAAUUGUUUAAUCUUAUUUUCUCUGGCAAGAAACUAGUCUGAACUGGUUCUUUUAAAAAUGCAGUUUGAACUUUGCUUCUAAAGCUGUAUAUUAAUUUUUGAGAGAGAGGCUUGUUUUCAAGGU
This 575-nucleotide small RNA is filed under the name Pongo abelii (Sumatran orangutan). RNAcentral describes it as "retained intron". The record is from RNAcentral. Lineage: Eukaryota; Metazoa; Chordata; Mammalia; Primates; Hominidae.